RNAcentral lists this unclassified non-coding RNA (418 nucleotides) under Hevea brasiliensis (rubber tree). Lineage: Eukaryota; Viridiplantae; Streptophyta; Magnoliopsida; Malpighiales; Euphorbiaceae. The record is from RNAcentral.
AAAAAUAAAAUAAAAUAAAAUCCAUGUAAAUCAAGGGUCUGUUUUAUUUUUUUUUAACUGAUUCACACAUAGAAAUUGAAAUAAUUGUAGCCCAGAGAAUGUAUAAUUUUGAAAAUUACGAUCAAAAUUAGUUUUUUUACACCUAAAUUAAACAUUAGUUAGGAACAUAAUUAAUGCAAUUUUUUUUUCCGAAAUAAUUAAUGCAAUUUAGCUGUUUGUAAAUUUAACCAAACAAAUUGCAAUCCCAACUUCUAAAGCCCAAAUUCUAAAUCACAAAAAAACAGGGAUCAAAGAAUUAAUUAACAAACCUCGCGUUCGGCUCCAAGUGCCUAACAAGGCCAGGAACCUUGGGAAGGAGAACAGAGACGGGCUCCCCCAGAGGUCUACCUGGAUUUUUCAGAUUCUCUUCUUUACACAA